RNAcentral lists this transfer RNA (72 nucleotides) under Ictidomys tridecemlineatus (thirteen-lined ground squirrel). RNAcentral describes it as "Spermophilus tridecemlineatus (thirteen-lined ground squirrel) tRNA". It matches the Rfam family "tRNA". Rfam says of the family: Transfer RNA (tRNA) molecules are approximately 80 nucleotides in length. Their secondary structure includes four short double-helical elements and three loops (D, anti-codon, and T loops). The record is from Rfam by way of RNAcentral. Lineage: Eukaryota; Metazoa; Chordata; Mammalia; Rodentia; Sciuridae.
GUGGGUGUAGCUCAGUGGUAGAACACUUGCCUAGCAUGUGCGAAGUCCUGAGUUCAAUCCUCAGUAUUGACA